This 497-nucleotide ribosomal RNA is filed under the name uncultured bacterium. RNAcentral describes it as "partial 16S ribosomal RNA". It matches the Rfam family "Bacterial small subunit ribosomal RNA", at positions 28 to 507 of the family's 1533-position model. The record is from RNAcentral.
GAUGAACGCUGGCGGCGUGCCUAAUACAUGCGAGUCGAGCGAACAGACGAGGAGCUUGCUCCUCUGACGUUAGCGGCGGACGGGUGAGUCACACGUGGAUAACCUACCUAUAAGACUGGGAUAACUUCAGGAAACCGGAGCUAAUACCGGAUAAUAUAUUGAACCGCAUGGUUCAAUAGUGAAAGACGGUUUUGCUGUCACUUAUAGAUGGAUCCGCGCCGCAUUAGCUAGUUGGUAAGGUAACGGCUUACCAAGGCGACGAUGCGUAGCCGACCUGAGAGGGUGAUCGGCCACACUGGAACUGAGACACGGUCCAGACUCCUACGGGAGGCAGCAGUAGGGAAUCUUCCGCAAUGGGCGAAAGCCUGACGGAGCAACGCCGCGUGAGUGAUGAAGGUCUUCGGAUCGUAAAACUCUGUUAUUAGGGAAGAACAAAUGUGUAAGUAACUAUGCACGUCUUGACGGUACCUAAUCAGAAAGCCACGGCUAACUACGUG